Molecule: ribosomal RNA, 434 nt
Filed under: uncultured bacterium
Lineage: Bacteria
Description: partial 16S ribosomal RNA
Rfam family: Bacterial small subunit ribosomal RNA
Source: RNAcentral
AGCGAACGCUGGCGGCAGGCCUAACACAUGCAAGUCGAACGAACCUUUCGGGGUUAGUGGCGGACGGGUGAGUAACACGUGGGAACGUGCCUUUAGGUUCGGAAUAACUCAGGGAAACUUGUGCUAAUACCGAAUGUGUCCUUCGGGGGAAAGAUUUAUCGCCUUUAGAGCGGCCCGCGUCUGAUUAGCUAGUUGGUUGAGGUAAUGGCUCACCAAGGCGACGAUCAGUAGCCGGUCUGAGAGGAUGAUCAGCCACAUUGGGACUGAGACACGGCCCAAACUCCUACGGGAGGCAGCAGUGGGGAAUCUUGCGCAAUGGGCGAAAGCCUGACGCAGCCAUGCCGCGUGAAUGAUGAAGGUCUUAGGAUUGUAAAAUUCUUUCACCGGGGACGAUAAUGACGGUACCCGGAGAAGAAGCCCCGGCUAACUUCGUG